ACUGCUCAGUAACACGUGGACAACCUGCCCUUAGGUUGGGUAUAAACCCGGGAAACUGGGUAUAAUACCCGAUAGGUCUCGAUUGCUGGAAUGCAUCGAGAUUUAAAGCUCCGGCGCCUAAGGAUGGGUCUGCGGCCUAUCAGGUAGUAGUGGGUGUAGCGUACCUACUAGCCUACGACGGGUACGGGUUGUGAGAGCAAGAGCCCGGAGAUGGAUUCUGAGACACGAAUCCAGGCCCUACGGGGUGCAGCAGGCGCGAAAACUUUACAAUGCUGGCAACAGCGAUAAGGGAACCUCGAGUGCCAGGUUACAAAUCUGGCUGUCGAGAUGCCUAAAAAGCAUUUCAUAGCAAGGGCCGGGCAAGACCGGUGCCAGCCGCCGCGGUAACACCGGCGGCUCGAGUGGUAACCGUUAUUAUUGGGUCUAAAGGGUCUGUAGCCGGCCGGAUAAGUCUCUUGAGAAAUCUGGCAGCUUAACUGUCAGGCUUUCAGGAGAUACUGUCUGGCUCGAGGCCGGGAGAGGUGAGAGGUACUUCAGGGGUAGGGGUGAAAUCUUGUAAUCCUUGAAGGACCACCAGUGGCGAAGGCGUCUCACCAGAACGGACCUGACGGCAAGGGACGAAAGCUAGGGGCACGAACCGGAUUAGAUACCCGGGUAGUCCUAGCCGUAAACGAUACUCGCUAGGUGUCGCCCACGGUGCGACCGUUGUCGGUGCCGUAGGGAAGCCGUGAAGCGAGCCACCUGGGAAGUACGGCCGCAAGGCUGAAACUUAAAGGAAUUGGCGGGGGAGCAC
Molecule: ribosomal RNA, 793 nt
Filed under: uncultured archaeon
Lineage: Archaea
Description: bacterial SSU rRNA
Rfam family: Archaeal small subunit ribosomal RNA
Source: RNAcentral